CCCUUAGAUGUUCUGGGCCGCACGCGCGCUACACUGAUGCAUUCAACGAGUUUCUUCCUGGUCCGAGAGGAAUGGGUAACCUCUUGAAAGUGCAUCGUGAUAGGGAUAGACUAUUGCAAUUAUUGGUCUUCAACGAGGAAUUCCUAGUAGACGUAGUUCAUCAGACUGCAUCGAUUACGUCCCUGCCCUUUGUACACACCGCCCGUCGCUCCUACCGAUUGAAUGCUCAGGUGAGCCAUUCGGACUUUCAUCAUGCUGGUUUCCAGUUUUGAUGAAGGAAUGUCUUGCGAACCUUAUCAUUUAGAGGAAGGAGAAGUCGUAACA
RNAcentral lists this ribosomal RNA (324 nucleotides) under uncultured eukaryote. RNAcentral describes it as "partial 18S ribosomal RNA". It matches the Rfam family "Eukaryotic small subunit ribosomal RNA", at positions 1470 to 1796 of the family's 1831-position model. The record is from RNAcentral.